Molecule: ribosomal RNA, 492 nt
Filed under: uncultured bacterium
Lineage: Bacteria
Description: partial 16S ribosomal RNA
Rfam family: Bacterial small subunit ribosomal RNA
Source: RNAcentral
GAUGAACGCUAGCUACAGGCUUAACACAUGCAAGUCGAGGGGAAACGGCAUUGAGUGCUUGCACUCUUUGGACGUCGACCGGCGCACGGGUGAGUAACGCGUAUCCAACCUUCCCAUUACUGUGGGAUAACCUGCCGAAAGGCAGACUAAUACCGCAUAGUCUUCGAUGACGGCAUCAGAUUUGAAGUAAAGAUUUAUCGGUAAUGGAUGGGGAUGCGUCUGAUUAGCUUGUUGGCGGGGUAACGGCCCACCAAGGCGACGAUCAGUAGGGGUUCUGAGAGGAAGGUCCCCCACAUUGGAACUGAGACACGGUCCAAACUCCUACGGGAGGCAGCAGUGAGGAAUAGUGGGCAAGGGAUGGAAGUCUGAACCAGCCAAGUAGCGUGCAGGAUGACGGCCCUAUGGGUUGUAAACUGCUUUUGAAUGUGGAAAAGGUUAGGGACGUGUCCCUAUUUGCAGGUACCAUACGAAUAAGGACCGGCUAAUUCCGUG